UGGGGAAUAUUGCACAAUGGAGGAAACUCUGAUGCAGCGACGCCGCGUGAGUGAAGAAGUAUUUCGGUAUGUAAAGCUCUAUCAGCAGGGAAGAAGACGACGGUACCUGACUAAGAAGCCCCGGCUAACUACGUGCCAGCAGCCGCGGUAAUACGUAGGGGGCAAGCGUUAUCCGGAUUUACUGGGUGUAAAGGGAGCGUAGACGGUUCGGCAAGUCUGAAGUGAAAGGCGGGGGCUCAACCCCCGGGACUGCUUUGGAAACUAUGCAGCUAGAGUGUCGGAGAGGUAAGUGGAAUUCCCAGUGUAGCGGUGAAAUGCGUAGAUAUUGGGAGGAACACCAGUGGCGAAGGCGGCUUACUGGACGAUGACUGACGUUGAGGCUCGAAAGCGUGGGGAGCAAACAGGAUUAGAUACCCUGGUAGU
This 423-nucleotide ribosomal RNA is filed under the name uncultured Lachnospiraceae bacterium. Its description in RNAcentral is "bacterial SSU rRNA". It matches the Rfam family "Bacterial small subunit ribosomal RNA", at positions 355 to 794 of the family's 1533-position model. The record is from RNAcentral. Lineage: Bacteria; Bacillati; Bacillota; Clostridia; Lachnospirales; Lachnospiraceae.